Molecule: long non-coding RNA, 385 nt
Organism: Limanda limanda (common dab)
Lineage: Eukaryota; Metazoa; Chordata; Actinopteri; Pleuronectiformes; Pleuronectidae
Exons: 3
Source: RefSeq, a predicted model, not a curated record
GAAAAAAGACUGCCACCGAAGGAGGAGGAAAAAAGACUGACACCGGAGGAGAAGGAAAAAAGACUGACACCGCAGGAGGAGGAAAAAAGACUGACACCGGAGGAGGAAAUAAAGGUGAACCUGAGGAAAAAGCUUGAAGCAUUUAAUCAGAAGGUGAGGCAAGAAGUCACACAGCCAGCCAUCUCCCGAACCCCUAACAAUAAAUCAGUGGAUUAUCAAGACCUUACAUGAAUGUACCUUGUGUGAUGACAGACCACAUGGACCUCACGUUUAACACUCGUCAUUUACACAUACCGUUUUUUGUGUCAUUGUGAUUUGUCAUAUUUCCAGAUUUUACGCGGAAUCUUUCUCCAGCAAGUGAAAUACAUCUUUCAAGGAAUGUUUU